AUGAACGCUGGCGGCGUGCCUAAUACCUGCCAGUCGAGCGAACGGACGAGAAGCUUGCUUCUCUGAUGUUAGCGGCGGACGGGUGAGUAACACGUGGAUAACCUACCUAUAAGACUGGGAUAACUUCGGGAAACCGUAGCUAAUACCGGAUAAUAUUUUGAACCGCAUGGUUCAAAAGUGAAAGACGGUCUUGCUGUCACUUAUAGAUGGAUCCGCGCUGCAUUAGCUAGUUGGUAAGGUAACGGCUUACCAAGGCAACGAUGCAUAGCCGACCUGAGAGGGUGAUCGGGCACACUAGAACUGAGCCGCGGUACAGACUCCUACGGGAGGCAGCAGUAGGGAAUCUUCCGCAAUGGGCGGAAGCGUGGCGGAGCAAAGCCGCGUGAGUGAUGAAGGUCCUGGGAUCGGAAAACUCUGUUAUUAGGGAAGAACAUAUGUGUAAGUAACUGUGCACAUCUUGACGGUACCUAAUCAGAAAGCCACGGCUAACUACGUG
This 496-nucleotide ribosomal RNA is filed under the name uncultured bacterium. RNAcentral's name for it is "partial 16S ribosomal RNA". It matches the Rfam family "Bacterial small subunit ribosomal RNA", at positions 29 to 507 of the family's 1533-position model. The record is from RNAcentral.